RNAcentral lists this ribosomal RNA (447 nucleotides) under uncultured bacterium. RNAcentral describes it as "bacterial SSU rRNA". It matches the Rfam family "Bacterial small subunit ribosomal RNA", at positions 355 to 825 of the family's 1533-position model. The record is from RNAcentral.
UCGGGAAUUUUGGGCAAUGGGCGAAAGCCUGACCCAGCAACGCCGCGUGAAGGAUGAAGUAUUUCGGUAUGUAAACUUCGUAAGAAUAGGAAGAAUAAAUGACGGUACUAUUUGUAAGGUCCGGCUAACUACGUGCCAGCAGCCGCGGUAAUACGUAGGGACCAAGCGUUGUUCGGAAUCACUGGGCGUAAAGCGCACGUAGGCGGAUUUGUUAGUCAGGGGUGAAAUCCCGGGGCUCAACCUCGGAACUGCCUCUGAUACUGCAAAUCUCGAGUCCGAUAGAGGUGAGUGGAAUUCCUAGUGUAGAGGUGAAAUUCGUAGAUAUUAGGAAGAACACCAGUGGCGAAGGCGGCUCACUGGAUCGGUACUGACGCUGAGGUGCGAAAGCGUGGGGAGCAAACAGGAUUAGAUACCCCAGUAGUCCCUGAGCGGGCUGGCAAGGCGCAU